This 459-nucleotide ribosomal RNA is filed under the name uncultured bacterium. RNAcentral's name for it is "partial 16S ribosomal RNA". It matches the Rfam family "Bacterial small subunit ribosomal RNA", at positions 338 to 795 of the family's 1533-position model. The record is from RNAcentral.
CCUACGGGAGGCAGCAGUGAGGACUAUUGGUCAAUGGUCGGGAGCCUGAACCAGCCAAGCCGCGUGAGGGAUGAAGGUACAGAGGAUUGUACACCUCUUUUGUCAGGGAACAAAGGCGGGGACGUGUCCCCGGAUGAGUGUACCUGAAGAAAAAGGAUCGGCUAACCACGUUCCAGCCGCCGCGGUAAUACGGAGGAUGCGAGCGUUAUCCGGAUUUAUUGGGUUUAAGGGGUGCGUAGGCGGUAUGUUAAGUCAGCGGUAAAAGACCGGGGCACAAGCCCGUCGCGCCGUUGAAACUGGCAGUCUCGAGUGGGAGAGAAGUAUGCGGAAUGCGCGGUGUAGCGGUGAAAUGCAUAGAUAUCGCGCAGAACUCCGAUUGCGAAGGCAGCAUGCCGGCGCCACACUGACGCUGAGGCACGAAAGCGUGGGUAUCGAACAGGAUUAGAUACCCGAGUAGUC